GAUGGACAAAAUAUAUGUGGUCCAUCGAAAACUCAUUUUGACAGAAUUCAAGAGACAACUCUGAUGCGUGUCCUCUAACUCCGAUGCGUGUCCACUGUGGACGUUCUAUAGAAUGACACAAAUAAAAUUUUGAUUUAUUUAGGGGCACAAUGUAAACCAGAUCUGUACAAAUUGGUGGGUGCUAAUGAAGGACAAAUAGAGAGAUUUUGUGGAAGUUGUGGGUGGCGAAGAAGCAGAGACAAAAAAACGAUAGACAAAAAAAAAAAAAAAAAAUCUCGUCCACAAGAUCUAGUCCAUUACAUCUGAUCUGCCGAAUCUUGUCCAUCUACAGAAAAAAGUAUUGUCCAUCGCCGAAAAAUAUAUCUGGUCUAUGGUCCGCCAGGAACUGACUAUGGUCCGCCUGAACUCGUCCGCCAGAUCUGGUCUAUCGGAACUCGUCUUCCUGUUGGGUCGAAACUGGUCCGUCGAAUCUGGUCUGCUUGAACUGGUUAUAGUUCAUCAUAACCGACUGUGGUCUGUCAGAACUCGUCCGCUGGAGUUAUGGUCGGUCGGAACUGGUCCGUCGAAUCUGGUCUGCUGAAUCUGAACCAGAAUUGCUAUGGUCCGCCGGAUCUGGUCUGUCGAAACUGGUCCGUCGGAUUUGGUCUGUCGAAUCUGGUCUGUCGAAUCUGGUCCGUCGGAGUUCGUCCGCCGGAUUUUGUCUGUCGGAUCUGGUCUGCUGGAAUUGUUUGUUGUUGGAAGAAGAAAAAGAAGAUGAAGAAAAGAAAGAGAUAAUGAAAAAAAAAUUGAACAGUCACGAGACAGAGCAGCCCAUUUCAUCCAGGGAUAUGUUGGUCUUUUUACAUAGCUCUUGUGGCAGGCGGGAGAAGAGAAUUAUAGAAAUGGUAUUUCUUAAGAGUUUGGUCACUGUACAUGGCAGUAUUAAUAAUUUUCUCGCAAAUUAUUUACGACAGGAUUAAUUUAUUUUUUGACAGCUCGAAAGGAUCAACAAAUAUCUAUCUUAACAUUUUUGAAG
Molecule: long non-coding RNA, 1015 nt
Filed under: Capsella rubella
Lineage: Eukaryota; Viridiplantae; Streptophyta; Magnoliopsida; Brassicales; Brassicaceae
Description: long non-coding RNA (CRUB_LNC003985)
Source: RNAcentral